UACGUAGGGGGCUAGCGUUGUCCGGAAUCAUUGGGCGUAAAGCGCGUGUAGGCGGUCCGGUAAGUCCGCUGUGAAAGUCAAAGGCUCAACCUUUGAAAGCCGGUGGAUACUGUGAGGCUAGAGUACGGAAGAGGAGAGUGGAAUUCCUGGUGUAGCGGUGAAAUGCGCAGAUAUCAGGAAGAACACCCGUGGCGAAGGCGGCUCUCUGGGACGGUACUGACGCUGAGACGCGAAAGCGUGGGGAGCGAACAGG
RNAcentral lists this ribosomal RNA (253 nucleotides) under uncultured bacterium. Its description in RNAcentral is "partial 16S ribosomal RNA". It matches the Rfam family "Bacterial small subunit ribosomal RNA", at positions 524 to 776 of the family's 1533-position model. The record is from RNAcentral.